GACGAACGCUGGCGGCGCGCUUAACACAUGCAAGUCGAGCGAAGCGGUGGACGGGUGAGUAACACGUGAGUAACCUGCCUUAGACAUUGGGAUAGCCUCGGGAAACCGGGAUUAAUACCAAAUGGUCUAAGAUGGACUCGAGUGCUAUUAGGUGGUUGGUGAGGUAACGGCGCACCAAGUCGACGAUGGGUAGCCGGCCAGAGAGGGUGAACGGGUACAUUGGAUCUGAGAAACGGUCCAAACUCUGCGGGAUGCAGCAGUGGGGAAUAUUGCACAAUGGAGGGAACUCUGAUGCAGCGACGCCGCGUGAACAAAGAAGGCUUUCGAGUCGUAAAGUUCUUUUAUAUGGGGAGCGGUACCAGAAGAAAAAGCCCCGGCUAACUACGUGCCAGCAGCCGCGGUAAUUC
RNAcentral lists this ribosomal RNA (407 nucleotides) under uncultured bacterium. RNAcentral describes it as "partial 16S ribosomal RNA". It matches the Rfam family "Bacterial small subunit ribosomal RNA", at positions 28 to 526 of the family's 1533-position model. The record is from RNAcentral.